Molecule: RNA transcript, 3251 nt
Organism: Coffea eugenioides
Lineage: Eukaryota; Viridiplantae; Streptophyta; Magnoliopsida; Gentianales; Rubiaceae
Gene name: cleavage and polyadenylation specificity factor subunit 6
Exons: 3
Source: RefSeq, a predicted model, not a curated record
CACAGGCAGAUACAGAGAGAGAGAGAGAGAGAGGAAAAGGGAUGGCUACCUGCACCAUACAUGACUGAGUGAGGGUUGGUAGCUAAGACAAAAAAAAGAAACAGUAAGAAAAUCCUUUUACCCCAAAUUCCCAUCUGUCUCGAGUUUAAGCAAAUCCCAUCAUCAUCAUCAUCAUCAUCAUCAUCGUCGUCGUCGUCAUUCUUGUAAUUCGUGCUUACUAGUGACUGCUGAAUGCUUUGCCCUUUUACUCCUUUCUUCUUCUAACUUUUUGGGUCUUUUGAUUAGUUAGGAGGAGUUAAAUAGUGGGUUUCAGGUUAGAUUUGAUGGAUCCAGGGGGUGAUGAGCAAUUAGACUUUGGAGAUGAAGAAUACGGAGGGAGUCAAAAGAUGCAGUAUCAUAGAGGUGGAGCAAUACCUGCACUUGCAGAGGACGAGAUGAUCAAUGAGGAUGAUGAAUAUGAUGAUCUCUACAAUGAUGUUAACGUUGGGGAGGGAUUCCUGCAGAUGCAGCAGCAGCAGCGGUCUGAGACACCACGGGCUCCUCUUGGUGUGGGCAAUGGGGGAUUCCCAGCUCCUAGAGCAAGUGUUCAGGAUCCGAGAGCAGAAACUGUGGUAACGCAAGGUGUAAACAUCCCUCGAUCUGCAACUGAAGGAAAGUAUACCAACUCUGGUGUUCGAUUUCCUGAUCAGAAGAGUGGACUGGCAUCUGAUGUAGGUGCCCUCCCUGGCACUGAUGCUUCUCAGAAAGGAAGAGCUCCAGAGAUUAUUCAUAACUCUCAAGCAGGAAAUUUGGGAUAUCAAGGGUCCAUGGCUGUUGCUAUGUCACAAAAAGUUGGAGUAGAGUCACUUGAUAUGUCAGGAAAAGUUACAGGGGAGCCUGGGCCAUUGCUAAAACCAGUUGCGGGUGCCCCCAGAGUCAUUCCGCAGGUGCCAGCUAAUCAUAUGAGUUCAAGUUCGAAUGUUAAUAGUAUUCGCCCAGUUGUUACUGAAAACCAGGUAAGACCAGCUGUAGAGAAUGGGAAUACAAUGCUCUUUGUUGGAGAGCUGCAUUGGUGGACUACUGACGCAGAGCUUGAGAGUGUUUUGACCCAGUAUGGGAAGGUCAAGGAGAUUAAAUUCUUUGAUGAGAGAGCUAGUGGAAAAUCUAAAGGCUAUUGCCAAGUUGAAUUCUCUGAUCCUGCUGCAGCGACUGCAUGUAAAGAAGGCAUGAAUGGUCAUGUCUUUAAUGGGCGAGCGUGUGUGGUGGCGUUGGCUACUCCACAAACCAUUAAACAGAUGGCUGCUUCUUAUAUGAACAAGACACAAGUCCAGUCUCAGUCCCAGUCCCAGCCACAGGGUAGGAGACCAAUGAACGAUGGUGCAGGUAGGGGCAAUGGAACUAAUUAUCCCAGUGGAGAUGCUGGGAGAAACUUUGGGCGUGGAGGAUGGGCUGGACGAGGAGGUCAGGGGAUGCCCAAUAAGGCUCCAGUAGGUGUACCUGGAAGAGGGAGAGGAACUGUUGGAGCGAAGAAUAUGAUGGGGAAUGCUCCAGGUGGUGGAAAUGGUGUCACUGGAGGAGCUUAUGGUCAGGGCCUUGCAGGUCCUGCUUUUGGUGGCCCUCCUACUGGCUUAAUGCAUCCUCAGGCAAUGAUGGGUCCCGGAUUUGAUCCGACAUAUAUGGGUCGAGGAGCUGGGUAUGGAGGCUUUUCGGGUCCUGCUUUCCCUGGGAUGAUCCCUCCAUUUCCAGCUGUUAAUCACAUGGGUCUUGCUGGGGUGGCUCCUCAUGUCAACCCUGCCUUUUUUGGGCGAGGAAUGGCUGCUAACGGUAUGGGUAUGAUGGGGACGGGAGGAAUGGAUGGACCUCACGCAGGAAUGUGGACCGACGCAAGCAUGGGAUGGGGCGGAGAAGAACAUGGUCGAAGGACAAGGGAGUCAAGUUAUGGUGGUGAAGACAAUGCCUCUGAGUAUGGGUAUGGAGAGGCAAGCCAUGAUAAGGGUGUGCGGUCAAGUGCUGCUUCGCGGGAGAAGGAACGAGGUUCUGAGCGUGACUGGUCAGGGAGUUCGGAUAGAAGGCAUCGUGAUGAGAGAGAGCAUGAUAGGGACAGGUAUGACAGGGAUCACAGGUACAGGGAAGAAAAGGAUAGUUAUAGGGAAUAUCGUCACAAGGAGCGGGACCCAGGUUAUGAAGAUGAUUAUGACAGGGGACAACCUUCGAGAUCCCGGAGCAGGUCACGAGCAGUUCCAGAAGAACAUCACAGGUCUCGAUCAAGGGAUGCAGAUUAUGGGAAGCGGAGGCGCCUGCCAUCAGAGUGAUGUUAUCAGGUGGUUUUUAUUCUUAUAAUGGCCCUUUGUGCAUGAAAGCACCAACCUUAUCGGCUCUCAGUAGCAUUUGCCAGACUGCAGCGAAGCACCGUCAAUCUGAUUUCUGUUUAUGCUGCACACGAAGUGGCUUCUGGUCUAAAGAAGGAGCAGAGAGACAACUCUUUGUUUUGUGACUAAAUCAGCUGAAUUGGUUACUUGAAGGAAGAUAAGAUAAAUUGGUCGCUAUUCUUGGAUUUCUUUGAAAACAUUAGUCAUCUACCUAAUGUGCCAAAGAAGCCUUAAUCAUACUGGCUGCAUUUCGUUUUCCUCAAGAACUUAGUGAAAUGUUCAUAAGUGAUGCCUCUGCAAGAAAAUGUCUAAACAGUCAAAUUCGCCAAACUGUAACAUUCAGGGCCAUUAUAGUUAAUUCUUCAUGUAGCUACCAUAUUUACGUGUCCACUUUUGUUGUUUUUUUUUUUUUAAAUCAUAGAUCCCAUGUUCUAGGUUUCACGUGUAAUAGUGCUUCAAUGUCGCUGUCUAAUUUGUGAGGUAUGUAGCCAAUUCUUUUGUACAUGAUGUAUUGUAUAUGGUAGCACUGGUCCUGUUCAUGUGAGGGUUUUUUUUGUUUCAAAUUGUACUGUAUCUUGGAGUUGGGUUGCUACAAUAUCUCAAGGGGAUUUCAUUUGGUUGAUGGUGCUUGUACCGGUCUGAGCUUAUGAAGCAUGAGAUGUAUUCUCACGGUUCUUUGCAAAUUGUAGAUCUUGUUUGUCAGAAUUGUACUCUUGUAUAUGGUGGAAUUGGUGGCAAAAGUGUCUGAUUUUGUAGUUGUAUAGGAUAGCAUAAGUAGGGUGCCAACCAUAGGAAGUUAACUGUAACAUUCUCAAGGAUUUGAUCUGGCAUAUUUCUUCACGAGCUUGAAGGUCCCGCUUUCCAACCUUACAAUGUAAUCUAAAAAUUUCUUUGAUUUUUCUA